AAAGUCCUAGCUUAAUUAAAGCACCUGAGUUGCAUUCAGGAGAUGUGGGGUAGAGUCCUGCGGAUUUUA
Molecule: transfer RNA, 69 nt
Filed under: Gymnorhina tibicen (Australian magpie)
Lineage: Eukaryota; Metazoa; Chordata; Aves; Passeriformes; Artamidae
Description: tRNA-Ala
Rfam family: tRNA
About the family: Transfer RNA (tRNA) molecules are approximately 80 nucleotides in length. Their secondary structure includes four short double-helical elements and three loops (D, anti-codon, and T loops).
Source: RNAcentral